CAGUCGCCGCGGUAAUACGUAGGGUGCGAGCGUUAAUCGGAAUUACUGGGCGUAAAGCGUGCGCAGGCGGUUAUAUAAGACAGAUGUGAAAUCCCCGGGCUCAACCUGGGACCUGCAUCUGUGACUGUAUAGCUAGAGUACGGUAGAGGGGGAUGGAAUUCCGCGUGUAGCAGUGAAAUGCGUAGAUAUGCGGAGGAACACCGAUGGCGAAGGCAGCCCCCUGGGCCAACACUGACGCUCAUGCACGAAAGCGUGGGGAGCAAACAGGAUUAGAUACCCCGGUAGUCCCUGUCUCUUAUAC
RNAcentral lists this ribosomal RNA (301 nucleotides) under uncultured bacterium. RNAcentral's name for it is "partial 16S ribosomal RNA". It matches the Rfam family "Bacterial small subunit ribosomal RNA", at positions 509 to 807 of the family's 1533-position model. The record is from RNAcentral.